RNAcentral lists this Y RNA (113 nucleotides) under Carlito syrichta (Philippine tarsier). Its description in RNAcentral is "Y RNA (ENSTSYG00000033092.1)". It matches the Rfam family "Y RNA". From Rfam's summary of the family: Y RNAs are components of the Ro ribonucleoprotein particle (Ro RNP), in association with Ro60 and La proteins. The Y RNAs and Ro60 and La proteins are well conserved, but the function of the Ro RNP is not known. Lineage: Eukaryota; Metazoa; Chordata; Mammalia; Primates; Tarsiidae. The record is from Rfam by way of RNAcentral.
AGCUGGUCUGAAGGUAAUGAAUUACCUUAUAGAUUGUUUAUAGUCAAUUACAAAUCAAACUCCUUGUUCUAUUCUUCCCCCCUUUCUCAUUACUGUAGUUGAUUAGGCUUGAA